Oryza rufipogon (brownbeard rice) is the source of this 204-nucleotide microRNA precursor. It matches the Rfam family "MIR812 microRNA precursor family". NCBI's taxonomy places the organism in Eukaryota, Viridiplantae, Streptophyta, Magnoliopsida, Poales, Poaceae. The record is from Rfam.
AGAAAAGACAAACCCGAAUUUCCGUAUCUAACUUUAAUUGUCCGUUUUAUAUAAAAUUUUUUUAUAAUUCAUAUUUUUAUUGUUGUUAGAUGAUAAAACAUGAUUAAUAUUUUAUGCGUGACUUGUCUUUUUAAUUUUUUUCAUAAAUUUUUAAAUAAGACGGAUGGUCAAACGUUGGACACGGAAACCAGGGUUUGUCUUGUU